CCUACGGGUGGCUGCAGUCGAGAAUUUUUCACAAUGGGGGAAACCCUGAUGGAGCGACGCCGCGUGGAGGAUGAAGGCCCUUGGGUUGUAAACUCCUGUCAUGCGGGAACAAGAAAGUGAUAGUACCGCAAGAGGAAGAGACGGCUAACUCUGUGCCAGCAGCCGCGGUAAUACAGAGGUCUCAAGCGUUGUUCGGAUUUAUUGGGCGUAAAGGGUGCGUAGGUGGCGACGCAAGUCUGAUGUGAAAUUUCGGGGCUCAACCCCGAAACUGCAUUGGAUACUGCGCCGCUCGAGGAUUGUAGAGGAGAGUGGAAUUCACGGUGUAGCAGUGAAAUGCGUAGAGAUCGUGAGGAAGACCAGUUGCGAAGGCGACUCUCUGGGCAACUCCUGACACUGAGGCACGAAGGCCAGGGGAGCAAACGGGAUUAGAUACCCCUGUAGUC
This 443-nucleotide ribosomal RNA is filed under the name uncultured bacterium. RNAcentral's name for it is "partial 16S ribosomal RNA". It matches the Rfam family "Bacterial small subunit ribosomal RNA", at positions 338 to 795 of the family's 1533-position model. The record is from RNAcentral.